Molecule: ribosomal RNA, 242 nt
Filed under: uncultured bacterium
Lineage: Bacteria
Description: partial 16S ribosomal RNA
Rfam family: Bacterial small subunit ribosomal RNA
Source: RNAcentral
GAUCCUGGCUCAGGAUGAACGCUAGCGACAGGCUUAACACAUGCAAGUCGAGGGGCAGCGGGGAGUAGCAAUACUCUGCCGGCGACCGGCGCACGGGUGAGUAACGCGUAUGUAACCUGCCUCAUACAGGGGGAUAACAGUUGGAAACGGCUGUUAAUACCGCAUAAGCGCACAGUACCGCAUGGUACCGUGUGAAAAACUCCGGUGGUAUGAGAUGGACCCGCGUCUGAUUAGCUGGUUGG